AUAACGACUCUCGGCAACGGAUAUCUCGGCUCUCGCAUCGAUGAAGAACGCAGCGAAAUGCGAUACCUGGUGUGAAUUGCAGAAUCCCGUGAAUCAUCGAGUCUUUGAACGCAAGUUGCGCCCGAGACCGUCCGGUCGAGGGCACGCCUGCCUGGGCGUCACG
This 163-nucleotide ribosomal RNA is filed under the name Phthirusa inorna. RNAcentral's name for it is "5.8S ribosomal RNA". It matches the Rfam family "5.8S ribosomal RNA". From Rfam's summary of the family: 5.8S ribosomal RNA (5.8S rRNA) is a component of the large subunit of the eukaryotic ribosome. It is transcribed by RNA polymerase I as part of the 45S precursor that also contains 18S and 28S rRNA. The record is from RNAcentral. Lineage: Eukaryota; Viridiplantae; Streptophyta; Magnoliopsida; Santalales; Loranthaceae.